CUUCAGCGACCCGAGCAGCAGCGGACGCCCCUCGGGCCGCUGCGCGCCGUAGGUCGCCAGCAGCGCCUGCGCCUC
RNAcentral lists this antisense RNA (75 nucleotides) under Protofrankia coriariae. Its description in RNAcentral is "Frankia coriariae ASpks sRNA". It matches the Rfam family "ASpks TB sRNA". Lineage: Bacteria; Bacillati; Actinomycetota; Actinomycetes; Frankiales; Frankiaceae. The record is from RNAcentral.